CGGUGAAGUAGUCGAGGAUGCGCGCCUGGUUCACGAUCAGGUGGGGGAAUUCGCUGAUCCCCGUCGGAUCGUCCUCGGCCACCGCCGU
RNAcentral lists this transfer RNA (88 nucleotides) under bioreactor metagenome. RNAcentral describes it as "tRNA-Val". The record is from RNAcentral.